Molecule: long non-coding RNA, 473 nt
Filed under: Rattus norvegicus (Norway rat)
Lineage: Eukaryota; Metazoa; Chordata; Mammalia; Rodentia; Muridae
Description: long non-coding RNA NONRATT008609
Source: RNAcentral
AAUUUUGGGAAUAAAUUGGAAGAAAUCUCUCAUUGGGAGAAAUGGAUUCUAUUCUACGACUGACCAGCAUUUUGACUUGGUUGCUCUCUGGCUUGUGGCACGUUGGAUUAACAGCGACAAAUUACAACUGUGAUGACCCAUUGGCCUCCUUCCUCUCACCAGUUGCUUACUCCAGUUCCUCAGAUAUCACUGGAAGUACCAGCUCAGCUCAACUGAAUUGGAGAAUGGGAACUGGCGGUUGGUCCCCAGCAGAUUCCAGUGCCCAUCAGUGGCUACAGUUGGACCUGGGAAACAGAGUAGAGAUUACAGCAGUGGCUACACAGGGAAGAUAUGGGAGUGCUGACUGGGUGACAAGCUAUCACCUGAUGUUUAGUGACACAGGGCACAACUGGCAACAGUACAAGCAAGAAAACAGCAUAUGGGUAGGCAAUACUUUUCUCUGCCAAUAAAUAAAGAUGAAAUUUGCUAAUUCU